AUUUUGGUGAUGUGUUGAUGUGGUUGUCAAAUAAUCAGCAUUAUUCAUGAUAGCAAUGGUUGACUUUUGUAGGUCAUAGUGAGGCAUCAGUAUUAAUCUCAGUAUGUUGCAUAACUGGUGAAAAACUCCCCAAUGUUGGUUUAAAUGAGUUCAAGAACUACGACCAAACACCACUUCCUUAUGUAGAUUGUUCAGAUAUUACACUCUGCUUACUCAGGACUCUCAAGAUGCAUAAUCUUUUAUCUACACAGAUUUGAAAUCCACAAGCUCAGGACAUUGUUUGACUGUGAGAAAAGACUAACAGCACUAACAAAAAGUCAGACAACUGCCUGGAAACAACAGAGAUGAGAGCAAUUCAGAUGUGUGGGUGUUCGUCAGCUGUUAUCAGGGCUGUCCUCGUCACUGAUUGUCUGCUGAUGAUUGUCAGAGGAGAUGGAGAAGACUCUACAGAAAAAACUCCAGAAUUAAGUACAACAGUCCAAGAUAUGACGUAUAUUUGGAUCGGAGCUGGGGUCGGCCUCUUAUUGGUUGCUGGAUACAUUAUUUUCCAGGUCUGCAUCAUGAGGAGGUAUAUGAACGAAAGCACAGAUGCUAGAGUCUAAACCUUUAGAGCAGCCUCACCAGCUUGCCAUAAUGCCGUCUCAGCCAAUCAGAACAUCCCGCGCCAUUGGUGUCCAAUGACAUGCAGUGUUAAAGGUCAACAGAGUGAAUCUUCUGCAGGAUGAUGUGAAACCUGCAGAAGAGGCAUGUGGGGAGUAUACGAUCAACCAGGCGGACAGUUUCCCCCUCAAGUUUUCACACACAAAACACUGUUAUAGAUCUGUUUUAUAUCUUAUGAUGACGAAUCGAUUGACAAUAACAUGUAGCAAUGUGGUUUUCAAACAAGUAUUUUAAGAUAAUAUGAGAAAAGUGUUUUCAUUUGGCUGCUGAGUGUUGUGUUGUUUGAUUAAAUCUUAAUUUUAAAGCCUGAA
Non-coding RNA from Labrus bergylta (ballan wrasse), 971 nucleotides. The record is from RefSeq and is a predicted model, not a curated record. NCBI's taxonomy places the organism in Eukaryota, Metazoa, Chordata, Actinopteri, Labriformes, Labridae.